RNAcentral lists this ribosomal RNA (370 nucleotides) under uncultured eukaryote. RNAcentral describes it as "partial 18S ribosomal RNA". It matches the Rfam family "Eukaryotic small subunit ribosomal RNA", at positions 592 to 976 of the family's 1831-position model. The record is from RNAcentral.
CAAUAGCGUAUAUUAAAGUUGUUGCAGUUAAAAAGCUCGUAGUUGGACCUUGGACCUGGACAGGCGGUCCGCCUCACGGCGUGUACUGUCUUGCUGGGUCUUUCCUCUUGGUGAUCUGUUGUUUCGGCAGCAGGGAACCAGGACUUUUACUUUGAAAAAAUUAGAGUGUUCAAAGCAGGCUCGACGCCGGAAUAUAUUAGCAUGGAAUAAUAAAAUAGGACGUGCGGUUCUAUUUUGUUGGUUUUUGGAAUCGCCGUAAUGAUUAAUAGGGACAGUCGGGGGCAUUAGUACUCACAUGCUAGAGGUGAAGUUCUUGGAUUUUGUGAAGACUAACUUCUGCGAAAGCAUUUGCCAAGGAUGUUUUCAUUAA